This 373-nucleotide ribosomal RNA is filed under the name uncultured organism. RNAcentral describes it as "bacterial SSU rRNA". It matches the Rfam family "Bacterial small subunit ribosomal RNA", at positions 526 to 896 of the family's 1533-position model. The record is from RNAcentral.
CGUAGGGUGCGAGCGUUGUCCGGAAUUAUUGGGCGUAAAGGGCUCGUAGGCGGUUUGUCGCGUCGGGAGUGAAAACCCAGGGCUCAACCCUGGGCUGGCUUUCGAUACGGGCAGACUAGAGGUAUGCAGGGGAGAACGGAAUUCCUGGUGUAGCGGUGAAAUGCGCAGAUAUCAGGAGGAACACCGGUGGCGAAGGCGGUUCUCUGGGCAUUACCUGACGCUGAGGAGCGAAAGUGUGGGGAGCGAACAGGAUUAGAUACCCUGGUAGUCCACGCCGUAAACGUUGGGCGCUAGGUGUGGGGUCCAUUCCACGGAUUCCGUGCCGCAGCUAACGCAUUAAGCGCCCCGCCUGGGGAGUACGGCCGCAAGGCUA